UACGAGAGGCCCAAACGUUAUUCGGAUUUACUGGGCUUAAAGAGUUCGUAGGCGGCGGGGCAAGUCUGAUGUGAAAUCCCGGGGCUCAACCCCGGAACUGCAUUGGAUACUGCCUUGCUUGAGUACUGGAGAGGAGACUGGAAUUUACGGUGUAGCAGUGAAAUGCGUAGAGAUCGUAAGGAAGGCCAGUGGCGAAGGCGAGUCUCUGGACAGUAACUGACGCUGAGGCACGAAGGCCAGGGGAGCAAACGGG
This 253-nucleotide ribosomal RNA is filed under the name uncultured bacterium. RNAcentral's name for it is "partial 16S ribosomal RNA". It matches the Rfam family "Bacterial small subunit ribosomal RNA", at positions 524 to 776 of the family's 1533-position model. The record is from RNAcentral.